RNAcentral lists this ribosomal RNA (261 nucleotides) under uncultured bacterium. RNAcentral's name for it is "partial 16S ribosomal RNA". It matches the Rfam family "Bacterial small subunit ribosomal RNA", at positions 793 to 1055 of the family's 1533-position model. The record is from RNAcentral.
GUCCACACCGUAAACGUUGGGCGCUAGGUGUGGGAUCCAUUCCACGGGUUCCGUGCCGCAGCUAACGCAUUAAGCGCCCCGCCUGGGGAGUACGGCCGCAAGGCUAAAACUCAAAGGAAUUGACGGGGGCCCGCACAAGCGGCGGAGCAUGCGGAUUAAUUCGAUGCAACGCGAAGAACCUUACCUUGGUUUGACAUACACCGGAAAGCUGCAGAGAUGUAGCCCCUUUUAGUCGGUGUACAGGUGGUGCAUGGCUGUCGU